CCUACGGGAGGCAGCAGUGAGGAAUAUUGGUCAAUGGCCGCGAGCCUGAACCAGCCAAGUCGCGUGAAGGAUGACUGCCCUACGGGUUGUAAACUUCUUUUGUAGAGGAGUAAAGCGAGUCACGUGUGACUUUUUGUGUGUACUUUAUGAAUAAGGAUCGGCUAACUCCGUGCCAGCAGCCGCGGUAAUACGGAGGAUUCGAGCGUUAUCCGGAUUUAUUGGGUUUAAAGGGUGCGUAGGGGGGAUUUUAAGUCCGGUGUGAAAGGUUGGGGCUCAACCCCAUAAUUGCAAUUGAUACUGGCAGCAGUGAGUACAGGAGAGGUAGGCGGAAUGCGUGGUGUAGCGGUGAAAUGCUUAGAUAUCACGAAGAACUCCGAUUGCGAAGGCAGCAUACCA
RNAcentral lists this ribosomal RNA (396 nucleotides) under uncultured bacterium. RNAcentral's name for it is "partial 16S ribosomal RNA". It matches the Rfam family "Bacterial small subunit ribosomal RNA", at positions 338 to 731 of the family's 1533-position model. The record is from RNAcentral.